This is a long non-coding RNA of Cephus cinctus (wheat stem sawfly), 433 nucleotides long. RefSeq lists it as uncharacterized. The transcript has 3 exons. The record is from RefSeq and is a predicted model, not a curated record. NCBI's taxonomy places the organism in Eukaryota, Metazoa, Arthropoda, Insecta, Hymenoptera, Cephidae.
UAUCCAAAGCAUAGAUCAAAGUUCCGAUACCUCCAGCUGCUAAUCCAACACACGUUGCAAGCUGAAAUAUGUAGAUACCAGAUACUGGCAUGUUGAACUACACUGUUAUUAUCUUAAAUAUACGUAUUGUUGCAGUUGUAACUUACUACCAGAAAAUGAUGAACGUGGAAGUAAGGAAUAGGGAUAGGGCAAUGGAUCUGCGAAUAACUACUAGCAUGAUUACUCUCUUAAUAUACAACAAAUAUGGUAAAUCAGUUAUCAGGGAUAUAAGGAGGAAACUGAUAUGACAUUUCUCACAACUGUUAAAUGACAAUGACUGGAAAACUGUUAAAAAAAAUCUGAUCAAUUACGCAACGGUAGUUCGAAAAAAUCAUACAAGAGAAAGAAGUUAUAAGUCUUCAAGAAAAACGCAGCAGACGAUAUAAAAGAAUAA